RNAcentral lists this long non-coding RNA (1468 nucleotides) under Naja naja (Indian cobra). Its description in RNAcentral is "lncRNA (ENSNNAG00000014474.1)". The record is from RNAcentral. Lineage: Eukaryota; Metazoa; Chordata; Lepidosauria; Squamata; Elapidae.
CUGGAACAGGCCCCAGCUGUUCUUCCUCCCCACUUAUCUCGGUCUCUGAAGGCAGCUGCCUGUCUAGUGGCUGGGAAAUGUCGGACGGCCCUGGCUCUUUCUCUGCGUCUGACGCAGAGCAUCCGUCAGUGCCUUCCCCAGACUCCAGCACUGGCCCAAGUUCUUCCCCAACCUCCUCAUCGUCCGAUUCUACUGCCAGCCCUGCCGGGAGCUGGUGGGCCAGAACAGAAGAGCUUUGGAUUUGUGCAAGCCUCUUGUCUUCUUUCAGGCUUCCUCGCAAGUGAAAAGAAAAGAAAGAGAUAGCUGCUUUGAUGAAUGGAAUCAAAGCAGCAUGUCUUCAGUGUGACUUUUAAAGCAGCUGCAUCUUUCUUUCGGGGCUGGCAGGAAAGUCUGACAAAAACCUCGGGUAGAUAUGUGGAUAAGCUUGAGUUAUGAAUUAAGUUACACUUAUAACCUUCCUUUGUGCUAAACUGGCUGAUAAGCCAAGAGUGGAUCUUGCAAAGUUAGGAAGGCGGGGUCUGCUGCUGAUUGACAGUUUCUGCCUUCCCUUCCCCCUUUUCAGGGCCAUUCCUCCGGCACAUCUCCCAUGUCGUCUAGCGUGCAGUCAGGAACACCCAUCACCAAUGACCUCUUCAGCCAGGCCUUACAGCACGCCCUCCAGGCAUCAGGACAGCCUAGUCUUCAGAGCCAGUGGCAGCCCCAGCUGCAGCAGCUGCGAGACAUGGGCAUCCACGAUGAUGAGCUGAGCCUCCGUGCCCUCCAGGCCACUGGGGGCGACAUCCAGGCUGCCCUGGAACUCAUCUUUGCAGGGGGAGCCCCUUAACCCCGUCCCCGAGGCAUGCCCCCAUCCUGCAGGGGGCGAUGGCGUGUACAUCCGACCUCCGCCCCACCAAGCCAGCCCUUCGACGCGCAUCGCCUCCCUGUUCCCCAGCAUGUUCUUCUUCCUCUUCACGUCGUCCAGAGUCUAGAAGGUUGUGUCCCAUCUGCUUUUCCUGGCCUCCGGACAGCGAGGAGCUCCGAACAUCACUUUUGCCAAACGGCCGCCCUUAAGACGGGGAACAUUCCAGGAUUCAGAAUUUUUGGUUGGCUGCUCCAGAAACGGCCCAGCUUUGCUGCAUCCCGAAAAAGGCUUCCUCCGAUAAUUUCAAGAAUACGCUCAUUUUCCCACCCCAUCCCCCCUUCCUUGUGGUGGUUUUAUUCCUACCCUGGCCGAGAUCCCGUGGUGGUUUUUGCUGGACUUUUAAACUGUCUCAUUAAACCUGGUUUCCUCCAGAUCAUCCCUUGCUUUGUUUCUUGCUGCUGCUAUUUGGGUUAUCCAUGCAGCUCCAUUGGGUGGAAAACAGUGGCUGAGUUGCUCCAGAACAAUUCCACCUCAUUUCAGGGGGGGAAAAGGAACUGAAGCAAGUGUCAGUCCUGAAGCAUCAUCCAUCCUGUUGUGUCAUGGAGGCGCCAAUAAUCAGAUUGUGAG